This 548-nucleotide ribosomal RNA is filed under the name Rhodotorula mucilaginosa. RNAcentral describes it as "LSU rRNA". It matches the Rfam family "Eukaryotic large subunit ribosomal RNA", at positions 92 to 657 of the family's 3401-position model. The record is from RNAcentral. Lineage: Eukaryota; Fungi; Basidiomycota; Microbotryomycetes; Sporidiobolales; Sporidiobolaceae.
AGCGAGCGGGAAGAGCUCAAAUUUAUAAUCUGGCACCUUCGGUGUCCGAGUUGUAAUCUCUAGAAAUGUUUUCCGCGUUGGACCGCACACAAGUCUGUUGGAAUACAGCGGCAUAGUGGUGAGACCCCCGUAUAUGGUGCGGACGCCCAGCGCUUUGUGAUACAUUUUCGAAGAGUCGAGUUGUUUGGGAAUGCAGCUCAAAUUGGGUGGUAAAUUCCAUCUAAAGCUAAAUAUUGGCGAGAGACCGAUAGCGAACAAGUACCGUGAGGGAAAGAUGAAAAGCACUUUGGAAAGAGAGUUAACAGUACGUGAAAUUGUUGGAAGGGAAACGCUUGAAGUCAGACUUGCUUGCCGAGCAAUCGGUUUGCAGGCCAGCAUCAGUUUUCCGGGAUGGAUAAUGGUAGAGAGAAGGUAGCAGUUUCGGCUGUGUUAUAGCUCUCUGCUGGAUACAUCUUGGGGGACUGAGGAACGCAGUGUGCCUUUGGCGGGGGUUUCGACCUCUUCACACUUAGGAUGCUGGUGGAAUGGCUUUAAACGACCCGUCUUGA